GGUCUGUUUCCUGCCUCCUCCUCGCACCUAAUAAAAAACCGGAAAAAACCCAAACUUAAAAAACCGAGUUAUCAAAGGAAAAGAACCCGGCUGGCCACCCUGUGCUGUGCCACACAACCCUAAGCCUCCCCGAGCGCCACUCCCGCCGCGCCGCCACAACCUCCACGCCUCCCCUGCGCCGCUCAUCGCCACCCCCGUCGCCGCCAUGGACGAGCGCCUCGCCGCCACCACCGCCCCUCCUCUUCACCACCGCCACAAGUCUUUCGUCGCCGCCCCUGCCUCUUCACUGUCGCCACUCGAUCCCAUCAGAACCCGCCGGCGCGAGCGAACGAUCCAAAAGCCACCCCACCCACCCAUGGCGCGAGGCAAUCGGAGCAGGAGAGGAGGAGGAAGGCGAGGCGAGGCGGAAGGGGGACGAUGGGGAAGACGCCGGUGCGGAUGAAGGUGGUGGUGUACGCGAUUUUGCCGUUCCAGCAGAAGGUGAUGUUGGGGCUGUGGAAGGACAUCAUCACCGAGAUCCACCACAUGGUCUCCGAGAACUGGAUCUCCGCCACGCUCCUCCUCACCCCUGUCAUCGGUACCUACGAGUAAGCCCCGUACCUCCCUCCGUUCGCCCACUCCCCCUACCCCCCGCCGCUCGCCGGCGGUUCCGUCAUGCCGUGCAGAUAUCCGGCUAAAGCCGCGCCUUUGAGCAGCCGUCUUCUUCGCAUGCACCGAGCUCCGACCGAGACCACACCUUCCCGCCGUCGUCCUCUUGUUGUGCCUCCCCCUCCAAACAGCGGGCGGACGACACUCCCCAGCCGCCGCCCUCCUCGACGCGCCCCGUUCCCCUACACAAAAUCGACACCUACCAACAGGACGUGCGACGAUGGAGCAGCAUUUAUCGGUGCCUCUAUAGAUUCUGAAUGCUUCGAGCUGACGCUCUAGAUUCCUCGAGCCUGCGGGUGCGGGCUGGCCGAUUUGAAGGUUAGGGGAGAAGAUGACGGUGGGUGGUCGAUUCGAAGGUCGGGGGAGGAGUUGCCGAGCCCGUCGUCACGUCGCGGGCGUCGCUGUUUGAAGCUCGCGUCCCAUGGGGUGCGCGUCCUUGAAGCAGUUCAGCAAACCCGCACCGGGGUGCGAGGAGCCCGCCGUGCUCGCCUCCAAAACCUCAUGUGAGCACCACCUAACCAAGAACUUUGUAUCUCACGUGUAGAUCUUGAUUAGAAAUUUAGCACUCUUGUUCUGUAACGCUGAGAAAUGCUGCGCAUUGUGGUUGCUUUGCUGGGUGAACGAGGUGAAAGCGUUGUACGAGCUGUAUGAGAAGAUGAGCUUCUCCAUCGUCAAAGACGGGCUCAUUCACAAGGAGUUUCAGCUCGCCUUGUUCAGGAACAGCAAUAAAGCCAAUCUCUUCACAGACAGGGUCUGUGUCUCCUAUCCAUUCUUGCUCUUGCAGGAGAGUUGACCAAUUCGUAUUUCUCUUGAUCAACUCGAUUCAUGUUUUUUUUUGUCAAGUCUUCGAUUUGUUCGAUCUCAAGCGGAAUGGGGUGAUCGAUUUUGAGGAGUAUAUUCCACCCUAAAACACCUGCAUCAGAAAAAAAACAGCAUCUCCGGGAGAUGGUCUUGGCGCUUCUAGACGAGUCCGAUCUCUGUCUCUCAGACAACACACUGUCGAGGCAAUUGUCGAUAAUACAUUCAGUCAAGCAUACUCAAAUGGAGAUGGCAAGAUAGACCCUACGGAAUGGGAGGAAUUUGUGAAGUAGAACCUAGCAGCACUAAGAAACAUGUCACUUCCGUAUUUGCAGUGAGUACUACAUCUCCCGGACAUUACCAUGGCAUUUCCAAGCUUUGUAGUUCAUUCAGAAGCCAAUGACUGAAACAUUUUGGUAGAGCAGCAUGUAAGCCAACACAGUUAGUUCAAUGCGCUCCGUUGUGGGCUAUUGAUUUUUAUCGCACUUUCUCAGCUAUUGCAGUAAUGCACUACGGGAUUAACUAAUCUGACCGAGUUUUAAUGUCUUACUUUUAGCUUCCAGCCAUUGAGGUUCUCUCUGCAUUACCUCAUUCACCAUCUAUAAAUUUGCUGGUGAUGUGCGCUACCAGGGAGCUAAGCUUGCAAACCAAGUGGCUGCUGAGGCCAAGAAGCUUCUAAAGUAUCAUCGCUCACUGGGUGUCUAGGUUGUAAUUGGUGGCACACGAUUACCUCAAGAGCAACGAAGCAUGCAAUCUAACCCAUAUCCGGUUGUACCCAAUACCCAUGAGUUACAGUAGUGCACUGCGUAAUAUCUAGGUGCGACUCAUGCACUAAUAUAUUGUACUGGUCAAACAUAUUCUUGUUGCGACCCCUGGAAGGCUUAAGGAUCAUCUUGAGAACACACCUGGUUUUUCAACCCGAAUUAAAGGUGUGAAGGUUCUUGUUCUUGAUGAAGCUGACCGCCUGUUGGAUAUGUGAUUCAAAAGAGACAUUGAGAAAAUAGUUGUUCUCAUUCCUAAAGAACGUCAGACACUGUUGUUUUCUGCUACUGUUCCAGAAGAGGUCCACCAAAUUUCCCAUGUUGCAAUGAAAAAGGAUCAUGAGUUCAUUAACACUGUUCAAGAAGGCGAUGAGGAGACACAUUCACAGGUAAACCAAGACGUACAUGGUUGCACCUCUAGACCUGCACUUCUCUAUAUUAUACAACGUAUUGAACAAGCAUGUUGCAGAAGAUGCAGACUACAAACUAAGUUAUCUCACCAAGUAAUUGCAUGUUUGUCUUAUGGAAUUCCAGUAUGUCAUUGACAAUACGAUUUUGUAGGUGAUUGUAUUAUGUACUACUGCAAUGGUCACGAAACUCAUCGCUGAGGUGCUUUCCCAGCUAAAACUGAAUAUAAGAGAUUCAUUCCAGAAAGUCGCAAUCUGCGAGAACUAAGGUCUCAAAUGAAUUCAGGAAGUCAAUGGGUCUGAUAUUAGUUCGUUCUGACGUAUCUGCCCGUGGUGUAGAUUAUCCUGACGUCACCCUUGUCAUACAGGUGGACUCCAUGAUUGUUCUCUUUCUCUUGCAAAAAAAGAGAAGAAUUAUGCAUUCAUCGAGAAAUCUGCCUGCUGAUAGAGAACAGUAUAUAUAGACUUGGUAGAACUGGACGGAAAGGCAAGGAAGGGCAAGGCAUCUUACUGUUGGCUCCCUGGGAAAUGCAUUUUCUUAGUACUGUGAUGCACUACGGGAUUAACUAAUCUCCGAAUUUGCUGGAGAAAGUUCAGAAUGUAGCUGCCACUGAAAUGUGGCCUAGCAGGAUGGUGACGAUCAAGAGGACAUGUGAAUGAUGAUAAGCAUCAGAAGAUGACCAUACAAUGAUUUUCUUCUCAUGCGAAGGAAUCGAGCUUGCAUUCCGUCAGAACGAGUGGUUGCAGCAAUUCAUCGAGCACUCAGAUGUAGACCCCAUGGAGCUCAUGCACUCAAGCCCGGAUUGCGAAUUAACCCAAUUUAGGAUGUAGACUAUUGUGCAAAUGCUCAUGCGAAAGCAAUCACUGCAACACAAAUGCCACAAGGCAAUUUAGGAUUUGCAACGGGCACUCCAAUUAUUUUUGUGUAUUGACUGCAGGAAAUGCUAAAAGAUGUGGUUCGGACAAAAUCAUAUCAAAAUGUAAUCACCCAGAAUAACUUUUUUUUCAAGGACGUAAUAGUUCUUCAUGUCAGCGCUGGAGCCGGGAUUCUUUUGCUUUUCUAUGCAUAAGCAAGAGUUAAGCGCGUAGAUGUGUUGUGUGUUGUCUUGUGUAUUCAUAUUAUUUAAUAUUCAAUAUAAAACAAUUUAAUA
Phragmites australis (common reed) is the source of this 3765-nucleotide long non-coding RNA. RefSeq lists it as uncharacterized. The transcript has 7 exons. NCBI's taxonomy places the organism in Eukaryota, Viridiplantae, Streptophyta, Magnoliopsida, Poales, Poaceae. The record is from RefSeq and is a predicted model, not a curated record.